Molecule: long non-coding RNA, 708 nt
Filed under: Brachypodium distachyon (stiff brome)
Lineage: Eukaryota; Viridiplantae; Streptophyta; Magnoliopsida; Poales; Poaceae
Description: long non-coding RNA (BDIS_LNC002619)
Source: RNAcentral
ACGGCAGAGAAGGAAGACCUCUUACAAUCUGACAGGCUAAUAUGCUUGUCAAGAAAAAAAUCCCUCGAGAACGAACAAAGAAGUAAAGAACAGAGGUGAGAUCCUGGACAAAACAUGCUAGUUGCGACUCUACUGAUGGUAUCCGCUUUUGUUUACAGGAAUUGGGGGAGGCCUGUAGAGCAUGUUGGCGCUGCUGUUCCGAGCCAUCAAAUUUGCGCAAGAACUUCCAGAGGGCUUCUUGGCUACUGUUUUGCUGUUAGGACCAGGUACAUGACAAGUUCCCUGGUUCCCAUCUAGAUCUACGUAGCUCUUGCAUGAUUUGAACUUCUUGUACGGGCUCUCUUUCUUGCGUAGAUCCUGUAGGCAUCUCACCUCGGACAUACAAUCAAAGGACUGAGACUUCCCGUCGUAGUAUUUGGAUAACCCUUUCCUGCAAAGAACAGCACGGUACUUGCAAGGUGAGAAUUUUGUUCCUUUUGAUGUACAUAAAUUGACUGAUAUAUGAAAGUAUUUUUCCAAGGAACUUACUUGAUAGGGAGUUCUGCCUUCAUAGCUGACAGAUCGCAGAUGCUAUCUGAAUUCAGUCUUCGCACUGGCUGCGGCGUUUGGGAAGCCGCCUGCAGCGCAAACUUGUCUUGUUGAGCUUCAAACUCCUCGCCGUCUGAGAACUGGGCCUCAUCAUCCGAGUCGCUGGAGAUGGAAGAUGAG